Molecule: non-coding RNA, 1053 nt
Organism: Pelodiscus sinensis (Chinese soft-shelled turtle)
Lineage: Eukaryota; Metazoa; Chordata; Testudines; Trionychidae
Source: RefSeq, a predicted model, not a curated record
CUUAUGUUCUCAACCGGAUCUAGAAAAGGAGUAAAGCUAAAAUUUGGAUAGGAAAAGCUAUUGAAACAGCAUUCUCCUGAAAACAGAGGUCUGACAAAUACAGCUGCCUACCACACAGUAGCUGGUGAGAGGACACAGUUGGAGAAGGGAGCAAGACACCCACAGAAGGUUCAUUUCAGCUUCUCCCUGGGAAAGAGCCAGAUUGUUCCUGAUCACAUUUUGCUCUAAUUCAAGCAUCCUGCUAGUGAGCACACUGCUCAAUUAGGACAAAGCAACACUUUCUUCCUGAUGGACCAAGCCUGAAGAUCCUAUUACAGGAGAGAAAGGAAAAAUGGCUGCCGAACAAAUCUUAUGAAUUCCUUCAUCCGGCUGUCCACCAGUCCCUUUGGAGAGGCGAGAGCGUGCACUUGUGUGCCGUGGAGGCAAUAAAAGAUGCGUUUGUGUCCCAUUCAUCACGGUGUCAUUUUCAGAUGCAUGCAGAUAUUGCUUGCAGCGCUGGGGACAGGUGCAAAUUAACACAUACUCCCCGACUCUCCAGCCUUUCCCACCCCUAGUUCGUUCUCCAGCCUCUUCCCACCCUUUUUACUAGGAAACCUCACCGGCUCUCGCUUCUUGCCUUGCUUUUCAGCCCCUUUCCCACCCAGACACGAUGGGGCCUUGUUGGCUUGUGCGUGCGGGAGCCACGUGAAUGAGAGAAGAGAAACGGACAUCCUGCCCCCGAACAAAGACGAGGCACAAGGCCAGAUCUCUGUGUAACACACUCGAGCAGGCAGCGCAGCAGCUGUGCCCGGGAAAGGUGCCAGGCUGGACUAGCAAGGUGAGGUGGGGCAGGGACCAGCUCUGUGAAGGAACAGCACAGGGAAUUGCAAGGGAUGGCCGGGUGCCCAGGCUGAGCUGAACAGGGGCCACAGGUGAGAGCUGUGGGUCUGACAAAGCUUCAGCCACAUGCACAUGGGGGCGAUGCAGUGAGAAUCCCACGCCAGGCGGGCACAACUGUGCCAGGGCCAACAAGAGAGAUUAGCUUUGAGUUCACUCUACCCAGAGACAGGAGGC